CGGGGUACACGAGCGGCGAACGGGUGAGUAACACGUGGGUGAUCUGCCUUGCACUUCGGGAUAAGCCUGGGAAACUGGGUCUAAUACCGGAUAUGACCAUGAGAUGCAUGUCUUGUGGUGGAAAGAUUUAUCGGUGCGAGAUGGGCCCGCGGCCUAUCAGCUUGUUGGUGAGGUAACGGCUCACCAAGGCGACGACGGGUAGCCGACCUGAGAGGGUGACCGGCCACACUGGGACUGAGACACGGCCCAGACUCCUACGGGAGGCAGCAGUGGGGAAUAUUGCACAAUGGGCGAAAGCCUGAUGCAGCGACGCCGCGUGCGGGAUGACGGCCUUCGGGUUGUAAACCGCUUUUGACAGGGACGAAGCGCAAGUGACUGUACCUGUAGAAUAAGGACCGGCCAACUACGUGCCAGCAGCCGCGGUAAUACGUAGGGUCCGAGCGUUGUCCGGAAUUACUGGGCGUAAAGAGCUUGUAGGCGGUUCGUCGCGUCGUUUGUGAAAACUUGGGGCUCAACCUUAAGCUUGCAGGCGAUACGGGCGGACUAGAGUACUUCAGGGGAGACUGGAAUUCCUGGUGUAGCGGUGAAAUGCGCAGAUAUCAGGAGGAACACCGGUGGCGAAGGCGGGUCUCUGGGAAGUAACUGACGCUGAGAAGCGAAAGCAUGGGUAGCAAACAGGAUUAGAUACCCUGGUAGUCCAUGCCGUAAACGGUGGGUACUAGGUGUGGGGCUCCUUCCACGGACUCCGUGCCGUAGCUAACGCAUUAAGUACCCCGCCUGGGGAGUACGGCCGCAAGGCUAAAACUCAAAGAAAUUGACGGGGGCCCGCACAAGCGGCGGAGCAUGUGGAUUAAUUCGAUGCAACGCGAAGAACCUUACCUGGGUUUGACAUACACCGGAAACCUGCAGAGAUGUAGGCCCCCUUGUGGUCGGUGUACAGGUGGUGCAUGGCUGUCGUCAGCUCGUGUCGUGAGAUGUUGGGUUAAGUCCCGCAACGAGCGCAACCCUUAUCUUAUGUUGCCAGCGCGUAAUGGCGGGGACUCGUGAGAGACUGCCGGGGUCAACUCGGAGGAAGGUGGGGACGACGUCAAGUCAUCAUGCCCCUUAUGUCCAGGGCUUCACACAUGCUACAAUGGCCGGUACAGAGGGCUGCGAUACCGCGAGGUGGAGCGAAUCCCUUAAAGCCGGUCUCAGUUCGGAUCGGGGUCUGCAACUCGACCCCGUGAAGUUGGAGUCGCUAGUAAUCGCAGAUCAGCAACGCUGCGGUGAAUACGUUCCCGGGCCUUGUACACACCGCCCGUCACGUCAUGAAAGUCGGUAACACCCGAAGCCGGUGGCC
This 1339-nucleotide ribosomal RNA is filed under the name Nocardia sp. RNAcentral describes it as "bacterial SSU rRNA". It matches the Rfam family "Bacterial small subunit ribosomal RNA", at positions 83 to 1435 of the family's 1533-position model. The record is from RNAcentral. Lineage: Bacteria; Bacillati; Actinomycetota; Actinomycetes; Mycobacteriales; Nocardiaceae.